RNAcentral lists this unclassified non-coding RNA (292 nucleotides) under plant metagenome. RNAcentral describes it as "partial contains small subunit ribosomal RNA, internal transcribed spacer 1, and 5.8S ribosomal RNA". The stretch from base 244 to 292 matches the Rfam family "5.8S ribosomal RNA", at positions 1 to 49 of the family's 154-position model. The record is from RNAcentral.
UUUCCGUAGGUGAACCUGCGGAAGGAUCAUUAAUGAGUUGUCAUGGGGUUCGAUGCUGGCAGCCAGUUUUUGGAUGCAUGUGCUUGCCCUAACAAUCAUCUUCUUCCAAACACCUGUGCACAUUUUUGAGGGGGUCUUGAGUUGGUUGCCGCUCUUGGGUGAUUUUCUCACAUUCCCUUAAAUCAUUAUACGCUAUUAACAAUGUUGAACGUGCUCUGUGCCGCAAGGCCAUUAAUAUAAUACAACUUUUAACAACGGAUCUCUUGGCUCUCACAUCGAUGAAGAACGCAGC